UGGGUAACCUGCCUCAAAGAGGGGAAUAGCCUCCCGAAAGGGAGAUUAAUACCGCAUAAUAUGUUUAAGUCGCAUGACUUUAACAUCAAAGGAUUUUCUUUUAGAAAUUCCACUUUGAGAUGGACCCGCGGUGCAUUAGCUUAG
Molecule: ribosomal RNA, 144 nt
Filed under: uncultured bacterium
Lineage: Bacteria
Description: partial 16S ribosomal RNA
Rfam family: Bacterial small subunit ribosomal RNA
Source: RNAcentral